CUACGGGGUGCUCCAGUGAGGAAUAUUGCACAAUGGGGGGAACCCUGAUGCAGCAACGCCGCGUGGAGGAUGACGCAUUUCGGUGUGUAAACUCCUUUUGUAUGUCAAGAAAAUGACGGUAGCAUAUGAAUAAGCACCGGCUAACUCCGUGCCAGCAGCCGCGGUAAUACGGAGGGUGCAAGCGUUACUCGGAAUCACUGGGCGUAAAGGACGCGUAGGCGGGUUGGAAAGUCAGGUGUGAAAUCCUACAGCUUAACUGUAGAACUGCACUUGAAACUUCUAAUCUAGAGUAUGGGAGGGGGAGAUGGAAUUAGUGGUGUAGGGGUAAAACCCGUAGAUAUCACUAGGAAUACCUAAAGCGAAGGCGAUCUCCUGGAACAUUACUGACGCUAAGGCGUGAAAGCGUGGGGAGCAAACAGGAUUAGAUACCCCCGUAGUC
This 439-nucleotide ribosomal RNA is filed under the name uncultured bacterium. Its description in RNAcentral is "partial 16S ribosomal RNA". It matches the Rfam family "Bacterial small subunit ribosomal RNA", at positions 339 to 795 of the family's 1533-position model. The record is from RNAcentral.